Molecule: ribosomal RNA, 504 nt
Filed under: uncultured bacterium
Lineage: Bacteria
Description: bacterial SSU rRNA
Rfam family: Bacterial small subunit ribosomal RNA
Source: RNAcentral
CAGGAUGAACGCUAGCUACAGGCUAACACAUGCAAGUCGUGGGGCAGCAUGGAGGUUGCUGCAACUUCUGAUGGCGACCGGCGCACGGGUGAGUAACGCGUAUCCAACCUGGGCCCUUAGUAGGGAGUAGCCCGGCGAAAGUCGGAUUAAUACCCUAUGUUCUUCUUUGACGGCAUCUGACGAGAAGCAAAGAUUCAUCGCUAAGGGAUGGGGAUGCGUCUGAUUAGGUAGUAGGCGGGGUAACGGCCCACCUAGCCGACGAUCAGUAGGGGUUCUGAGAGGAAGGUCCCCCACAUUGGUACUGAGACACGGACCAAACUCCUACGGGAGGCAGCAGUGAGGAAUAUUGGUCAAUGGGCGAGAGCCUGAACCAGCCAAGUAGCGUGCAGGAAUGACUGCCCUAUGGGUUGUAAACUGCUUUUAUGCGGGAAUAAAGUGCACUACGUGUAGUGUUUUGUAUGUACCGCAUGAAUAAGGACCGGCUAAUUCCGUGCCAGCCGCCGC